Molecule: long non-coding RNA, 10439 nt
Filed under: Zea mays
Lineage: Eukaryota; Viridiplantae; Streptophyta; Magnoliopsida; Poales; Poaceae
Description: long non-coding RNA (ZMAY_LNC005334)
Source: RNAcentral
UUUACCUUUUCAAAACUCAAGUUUUACAUGUUUUGAAAGAAUAAUAUUUAUUACAAGUACUGAUAUACUCAAAGUGCAUAACUUAUUACAAAAGCAGGAAGGUAGAAACCCUCCAAAGCUUAUACAUAAACCUAGCUAGUCCUCCUCCAGAACUAGAAACGCUCUCCAGCCUCAGGAACAUCUAGAGUACUCCUCAUCACCUACAACAACAUGGGUUCGAAAACCCUGAGUACGGAGUGUACUUUCGCAAGUCUUACCCGACUAAGGAAAAAUGACUCUUAAGGAUAUGCUGGUUAAGUAGGAAUCAAGGAAAAGGCUUUAGCAAGAAUCAACUUAGAUACUUUUGCAGAAAUAGCUUACUAAAGUGAGUCCUUACUUUCAAUAUUUUAAUGCCAUAUUAAAUAUUAAUAGACUCUGGUAGCAUCUAGUCUAAUUUCACCAUCUCAUCAAACAACAUCAUUUUUAUUCAUAAUGUUUACAUCCUGACUUAGGUUGCAGGGCAGCGAUCAAGUCUCCACUCUCCGGGGAUAUAACGGCGAUCCGAAUCGAUUUACUCAGCUGAGGAUCUCUAACCACACGACAUAUGUAGCGCUUAACCCUUGCAUAUGUCUACCGUUCCCACGGAUCCUCCACUGCAUGAACAGGUCCGCGCCACCCGAGAGCGCACCACCCCUUUUAGGCGGUCCUUUGCCAGGAGGGUACGUGCCACUCUCGCCAUCUCUCCACUCCCAGUGCGCGAUUGUCUUUUCAUGUAUGGAAUAGCCAGGUUCAAGCUUACCCUGUCCCAUAUCCAGGGCAUGUGGCCAGUUAAGAUAGUCCUUGAUCAUACAGGCCUACAUACGCAUCCAAUCCUUAAUUAACCUGGGUAGAACAUCACUUGUUCCUAGCCCAAGUCCCGAUUUAAGUACUUCCAUCCUUAGGAUUGUUUGUGUUCCUUAGGAUGAAAAGAGCAUUAUAGGGAACUUUGCAGUAAGAUCCCACCAUGCUCCCAAUGAAAAUAUUCUUGCAGGUAGAAGCCGUCUUUCCUCAGGAUAACCCCUGAGCUAGGCCUCAAUGCAAAAGACAACCUCUAUCCACAAGAUCUGAGCAGGGCUAAGCAUUUUUGUAUAUCAUAUUUUGAUACUUCACCAGAAGUAUCUAUAAAGGUAUGGAUAUCAAGGUAGGCAAUGCAUCCAAUAAUUUCCAAGCAACUCCUAUAAACUUAAUGCUCAUUUCACUAGACUUAAAUGUAUAAAAGUCUUUUUAAAAAUACAAGGAAGGGGUAAAUGCACCGGGGCUUGCCUUUGUUGCAGAGACGGAGGUCUAAAUCCCUCUAUUAAACCCCAGUUAGAUGGCUCCCAUCACUUGAUGAGCAGGCACUGAAGCAGACUCCUCUUCAGAAACGACUUCUUGAAUUUUAUCAUCUUCUUCUGGGAAUUUCUACAUGUAAAGAUAUGAACAUAAAUGCUUAUGCUGAUGCAACUUGAAAAGAAAAUACUAAAAAGCAUCACAAGACUUACACCUCGCUAAAGGUGCACACAAAAACUAACAAAACCUUAAGAGAGCUAAAUACUCUAAUAUCACAACUCAAUUCACCAACCAAACUAGAAAACCUUGCCUCCAUAACCAACCAAGUACUUCAUUUAUGCCUUAAGCAAGGAUCCAACCUGCAUGAACUACAAGUUAUAGUGUCCAAGAAUCAGCCACAAUUCAUUGAACCUGCUUUCAGUUCUCUGAAAGCAUCUUCCAUUGCUCCAUUCCUCUCCCCUCUGUUCAAUGUCUUUUAUCUCAUAAACUCACAUGACAAGAGACCCCACUUACUUAACCAAAUCUAUUCCCUAAGUAUUGCUCUUCCACUUUGGUAUAACACUCCAAGACUGAAAAUACACAUUGCAAAUUCAGUUUUUAGGCAGCUGAAUGAAAUUCAGUCUCUGCAACUGAAAGUCCAUUUUUGGGCAGUAUUUACACCACUUUGUGUGUGGGAUCAAUCCCAACUCACCUAAAGGAUGUUGUUCUCUAACACAUGUUCUUCAAACUUGCUGUAGAAACUUUGGUUCAAAACCACCUAGAACAGGCACUACACAGCUCCAAAACUGCACUAAAAUUACUGAUUUCAGACUUUCAGUUCUGAAUAGACUAAGUCACCAACCACCUGACAGUCAAACUUUUGGCCACUUUUACUCCCAAAUUUAUGUGGAACCAGGUCCAUCUCACUUUAGCAAACUUGUUCACUUUACUAUGGUCUACAACUUUGCUAUGGAACCCUUAAUCCAAAACCCCAUGAAUCAGUCACAAUGAAUUCCAAACUAGGCAUCCUGCUGCAAUUCAGUUCUCAGAACUGAAUAAAAAUUCAGUUGUGUCCAUCCUGACAGACCAAAUUUAACCAACCUUUUCUCCAAUUUUUACACAGCAACAGACCAAACUCACAUUACCAAAGUUAUUCCUUAGAUAUAGCUCUAAUACUUUGGUGUAGUACCCCUAGGUUGAAAACAUUCAGAACAAUUUUUAUGAAGCACCAAAGUGGAGCUCAACACACUAAAACCUAGUUUCAGCCUUAUGCACUAAGUCUGGGAUCCAGAAACCUGACAGCCUAUGUUUGAGCAAAUUUCACACCUAGUUCCAGGCAACCAAUAGUGGUAGAGUUCAAGCAGUAAAUGGUGUGAGCUUCACUGACCUGUGAGGAACAAGGAACGGGCACAACACGGCCGAGACAAUCUCCACGAACCCUGGCCAUGGUGAGGUUGAAGGAUUGCUGUUGUGGUCACCAGACACAUGAGUUGGCUGUGAUGAACAAGGGCAGAUCAAUCUAGUGGCUGAGGAGGGGAGCUAAAACUGUCGUGGACACAGGAACUACAACGCACACGCAACUACUUUGGCUAGAGGUUGAGGGUAGGGGAGGAGAACUUCACUAAAUUCAGCCCCAAGGCACUGAAUAUAGGGGCAGGUGUCCCUGCACAUGGCAACCAUGCUGUGGGGAGUGUUUCCCAGUGCGCCAGCACAACAGGGGCUUACAAACGUGGCUCUCAAGUAUCAAUUUCACACUGGUUCAUCUGCACAGUUGAGACACCGAACCUGGUCCAAUAGCACAGGUACAACACAAUUAUCUAAUUAUGUCCAGUUCUGAAGACAGUAACAAACAGAUAGGGAUUUCCCUUGUGGAUAGGCUCAAUGGUGAAAACUGAUAUUUUUCUGUAGAGGGGGUGACUGAAUCUCGAGCUCCAUAUUGUCCACCCCAAGUCUAUCCCAGUUUGUGCACAUAAGUGGAGGACAGCAGGGAGAGAAGAUAUUUGUUGCACUCACAACCGAUCCAUACUGCAGUCACUGCACCUGGUCUGGUUCACAGCACCAGUCAGAGACACUGAAUUUGGUCCCUUCCCCAAAGCCAAAAUAUCCAUUUUGUCUUCUACUGCAAACAAAAGAAACGCAGCUGGGAACAUCACUUGUGGCUAAGCACAAAGUGGUCCAAUACUUGAUAUUUCUGCUGGGAUAAGGUUACUAGAUCCUGUUUUAUUUUUCUUUGUCCAGGGCAAUAGAUAAUUGUGCACCUGUGAGCAGGCACAAAUUAAUCCAAAACUAGAUACUUUCAGUUGGGAGUGAGGCUUCUAGAUAUCAGGCAUCCAUUCCAUACACAUCUCAACUUAUAAACACAAACAAGGGCGAGCAGCAGGGGAUGAUCUUGUUCAGUUUCCAAACCAAACUCUAAACGUGACUGAAACAGCCCUACUGCACCAUCUGCACCUCCCUAUUGAAGCCUUGUUAUUGCACAAAUCACCAUGGCAACAAACCCACCCCUUUCAACCAAAAGAAUUCUCCAACUACAGCUCUAUUAGUUUGUUGCAGCAGUCCAAGACCAAAAAUGAAAGGAUCAAAAGUUACAGUGCCCCAAAGUACAGCCAAUGUCACUGAAAAUUCAGUUUCAGAAAUCUGAAACAGCAUCACACCGAGUCUGACAGAGGGUUUUGUCACUCCUUUUUCUCCAAAUUAUACACAGUAACAAGUCAACCCUUUGCAUAAAAAUUGUUCCCCUUUAUAUGGACUUUUACUUUACUACAGAACUCUUAACCAAAAUCUCCAUAGAUUAAUUAUCAUAGAGCUCCAAACUGGGCAACUUGCUACCAUUCAGGGUUCAGAACUGAAUUAAAAUUCAGUUAUUAACCAACCUGACAAUCCAAUCUUUGAGCAACUAUUUCUGCACUUUUUGUAUGGGAUCAGGUUCACCACUCUAUAAGAAAGUUGUUCCACUUAUAUGGUCUUCACUUAUUCUACAAACACCACAGCACAAAACCUUAUAGAAUAGCCACAAAAGGGCUCCAAACUUGGCACCAUACAGAAAUUUUCAGAUUUCAGAACUGAACCAAAUGCAGUUAACGUACUAUCUGUCAGUCCAACCUUGAGCAAGCUUUCUCUCCAAUUUUUGUGUAGGAUCAAACCAAAGUUACUUAAGGAGACUUAUUCACCAUCAUAUGGUCUUUAAUUUCUCUAUAUAUUCUACAGCCCAACACCCUAUGUAUUAGGCACAAAUGAGUUUCAAAAUCAGCCAAAACACUGCAAUUUCAGACUUAGUGUACUGUUCUGAAUCUGAAAAUGCAAAGAUCUGUUAACCCCUCUUUGGACUACCUUUUCUGCUAGUAGCAUAUAGUUUUAGGGCUAUCACACUUAAUAAGGAUUGUUCUCCAACAGUUACUCUAAAAGUUUUAUACAGUGAGCCAUAGCCAAAUACUCCUGGAUUCCAAACUACAAAGGUCCAAAGUUUGACCAAAUUACUGAAAUUCAGAAUCUGAAUUUCACUGAGUCUGAAAUCUACAAAAUCUGACAGCUUUACUUUAGACCGGUUUUAUCCCAAGUUCCAAAUCGUUUUAGAGCUAGAUGACUUAACCAAACUUAUACUCCUCAUGUAUCUCUAUAACUUUGUUAUAAUGAUCAUCUUAAAACUGUUUAUAGAUCAAAUGUUAUGAAGGCCUAAAAAUAGCUAGUUGAUAUUAUUUUCAGCAAACUUCAAAUCUGAUUCAAAACUGAAUUAAACUUUUUAGUCCAACUUUUCCUCUAAAACUUGGAAUUCUCCAUACAUGAAAGUUGUUCAACUUCCCAAAAUCUACAACUUUGAUAUAUGGACCACUAGCAAAUUCUCUCUAGAUUUAAAACUCCACUUUUGGGCUAGUUGAGGGUUUCAAAUGUGACUUCUCAUCUAGUGAUUUAUCAACUCAAUCCAUACUCCUAAAAGACGAGUGACUCCUUAAUCUCAAAUCCAACUCUAGUAUAUGAAGCUCAUGUUCAAAGUGUCCCUAGUUUAGGAGUUGUUUUGUUUAUCCACAGUUCCAAGCAAGGUUUUCAAAUCUCACUUAAGGUUUUUAAGGUUAAUCCAGUUUCGCAAUUAAUUCUUCCACCUUUGAAAGCAAAGUUGUUCUAGGUCCUAAGUCUUACCUUUAAUACAUUAAAUUCCAAGCCAACUUAUUACUUGCUCAAGAGACGACUUCACUUCCGAUCUCUUAAGCAAAGUUCUUAAUCUGAGCCCUAUACUCUUAUACACAACACCACAUUCAUUGAAUUUUUUUUGACCUAGUGAAUGCAUUCUAGGUGCAUCAAGCAGUUAAUGCAAGUGCAGAUGAUGACAUGACAAGGUUUUAAUUAUCGUAACACCAGGGGUGUUACAGCCUUCCCCCCUAAAAAGAAAUCUCGUCCCAAGAUUUAAAACUCUAGGCUAGAUAAUGGAAAAGGAAAUGUGUCACUGGCUUAUUUCCCCAUUACUCCUACAAAGCAGGGGUGUGCCCCUAUUGGUUCAAACCAAAGACAAACUACACAAAACCUAGGACUUACAAGAACCUAGGAACUCAAGCACAUGUUCUUCCAAAUACUCCUUCGAUUCCCAUGUGGCUUCAUCUUUCGUGUGUAUUGGUUCCACUUUAUCUCGUAAAACUCGAUAACUCAUCUUUGAGUGUCCUGAUCCUUUUGAUCUAACACCUUUAUGGGAUAUUGCGAGGAGGUUAAACCUGGUUUAUGGCUAACAUCUGAAAUCUCAAUAACAUAUUUGGGGACUCGAAGACAUUUCUUUAACGGAGACACGUGGAACAUGUUGGGCACUAUUGGAAGAUCUUCUGACAAUUGUUCCUUAUAAGCCACAGGUUCACCAAAACCUUUGUUUCGAAGCUUGGUAGUCUUCAUGAACAGGAAAUGGUAGCAUAGAAAGGCAAAGACAGAUAGCAGGAAUAGGGUGGACGAAACAUGUACUAAUACUGCUACAUAGGGGGCUUAAUUUAAAAUUGUAUGUCAUGAUGCAUGCUCGACCGAUUCGUCCUCACAAUUCUUGCCAACAUAUAGUGGCGUUCAUGCUCUAUGGCGGUGGCAUACCUACACUCCGUCAUUGAAUACUAGUCGCACUUUUCUAGGGUUUAGUUAGUGUACCUGCAGAAAAUUGCAUUAUAGUUGUGGGUUAGUGGUUAGCAUCCUAAACUAAGCCACCUUAUAGUCCUUAACUUAACCAUAUACUAUUUGCACUUCGACUAUCAGGAUUUGCUCAUAUUCUUAAAUUUUUCCAAAAUAGUUUGGACUCAAAAUCCUUUUGAAAUAUAUCAAAGGAUUACUUUAAUAUCCAUGAUAAUGGGGGAUCGCUCCGAUACCAAUCUGUGGCAGCCCUCCCAAGUUAUCGGGCCCACUUGCACCAAUUCUUGCCUUGAUGGCCUCAGAUGGCUAUGCACGUGUACCAGGUAACUUAACAAGGCUAUCACGAGUUCAACAACUUGAACUCACCAUCCCAAGGAUCUCCCACCAUACAUGCAUAUUACAGUAAUCACAUUCGAUACACACACUUCGGAGAUAAAGAGCGGAAGACUUUACAAACAUUCUUUACCUUUUCAAAACUCAAGUUUUACAUGUUUUGAAAGAAUAAUAUUUAUUACAAGUACUGAUAUACUCAAAGUGCAUAACUUAUUACAAAAGCAGGAAGGUAGAAACCCUCCAAAGCUUACACAUAAACCUAGCUAGUCCUCCUCCAGAACUAGAAACGCUCUCCAGCCUCAGGAACAUCUAGAGUACUCCUCAUCACCUACAACAACAUGGGUUCGAAAACCCUGAGUACGGAGUGUACUUUCGCAAGUCUUACCCGACUAAGGAAAAAUGACUCUCAAGGAUAUGCUGGUUAAGUAGGAAUCAAGGAAAAGGCUUUAGCAAGAAUCAACUUAGAUACUUUUGCAGAAAUAGCUUACUAAAGUGAGUCCUUACUUUCAAUAUUUUAAUGCCAUAUUAAAUAUUAAUAGACUCUGGUAGCAUCUAGUCUAAUUUCACCAUCUCAUCAAACAACAUCAUUUUUAUUCAUAAUGUUUACAUCCUGACUUAGGUUGCAAGGCAGCGAUCAAGUCUCCACUCUCCGGGGAUAUAAUGGCGAUCCGAAUCGAUUUACUCAGCUGAGGAUCUCUAACCACACGACAUAUGUAGCGCUUAACCCUUGCAUAUGUCUACCGUUCCCACGGAUCCUCCACUGCAUGAACAGGUCCGCGCCACCCGAGAGAGCACCACCCCUUUUAGGCGGUCCUUUGCCAGGAGGGUACGUGCCACUCUCGCCAUCUCUCCACUCCCAGUGCGCGAUUGUCUUUUCAUGUAUGGAAUAGCCAGGUUCAAGCUUACCCUGUCCCAUAUCCAGGGCAUGUGGCCAGUUAAGAUAGUCCUUGAUCAUACAGGCCUACAUACGCAUCCAAUCCUUAAUUAACCUAGGUAGAACAUCACUUGUUCCUAGCCCAAGUCUCGAUUUAAGUACUUCCAUCCUUAGGAUUGUUUGUGUUCCUUAGGAUGAAAAGAGCAUUAUAGGGAACUUUGCAGUAAGAUCCCACCAUGCUCCCAAUGAAAAUAUUCUUGCAGGUAGAAGCCGUCUUUCCUCAGGAUAACCCCUGAGCUAGGCCUCAAUGCAAAAGACAACCUCUAUCCACAAGAUCUGAGCAGGGCUAAGCAUUUUUGUAUAUCAUAUUUUGAUACUUCACCAGAAGUAUCUAUAAAGGUAUGGAUAUCAAGGUAGGCAAUGCAUCCAAUAAUUUCCAAGCAACUCCUAUAAACUUAAUGCUCAUUUCACUAGACUUAAAUGUAUAAAAGUCUUUUUAAAAAUACAAGGAAGGGGUAAAUGCACCGGGGCUUGCCUUUGUUGCAGAGACGGAGGUCUAAAUCCCUCUAUUAAACCCCAGUUAGAUGGCUCCCAUCACUUGAUGAGCAGGCACUGAAGCAGACUCCUCUUCAGAAACGACUUCUUGAAUUUUAUCAUCUUCUUCUGGGAAUUUCUACAUGUAAAGAUAUGAACAUAAAUGCUUAUGCUGAUGCAACUUGAAAAGAAAAUACUAAAAAGCAUCACAAGACUUACACCUCGCUAAAGGUGCACACAAAAACUAACAAAACCUUAAGAGAGCUAAAUACUCUAAUAUCACAACUCAAUUCACCAACCAAACUAGAAAACCUUGCCUCCAUAACCAACCAAGUACUUCAUUUAUGCCUUAAGCAAGGAUCCAACCUGCAUGAACUACAAGUUAUAGUGUCCAAGAAUCAGCCACAAUUCAUUGAACCUGCUUUCAGUUCUCUGAAAGCAUCUUCCAUUGCUCCAUUCCUCUCCCCUCUGUUCAAUGCCUUUUAUCUCAUAAACUCACAUGACAAGAGACCCCACUUACUUAACCAAAUCUAUUCCCUAAGUAUUGCUCUUCCACUUUGGUAUAACACUCCAAGACUGAAAAUACACAUUGCAAAUUCAGUUUUUAGGCAGCUGAAUGAAAUUCAGUCUCUGCAACUGAAAGUCCAUUUUUGGGCAGUAUUUACACCACUUUGUGUGUGGGAUCAAUCCCAACUCACCUAAAGGAUGUUGUUCUCUAACACAUGUUCUUCAAACUUGCUGUAGAAACUUUGGUUCAAAACCACCUAGAACAGGCACUACACAGCUCCAAAACUGCACUAAAAUUACUGAUUUCAGACUUUCAGUUCUGAAUAGACUAAGUCACCAACCACCUGACAGUCAAACUUUUGGCCACUUUUACUCCCAAAUUUAUGUGGAACCAGGUCCAUCUCACUUUAGCAAACUUGUUCACUUUACUAUGGUCUACAACUUUGCUAUGGAACCCUUAAUCCAAAACCCCAUGAAUCAGUCACAAUGAAUUUCAAACUAGGCAUCCUGCUGCAAUUCAGUUCUCAGAACUGAAUAAAAAUUCAGUUGUGUCCAUCCUGACAGACCAAAUUUAACCAACCUUUUCUCCAAUUUUUACACAGCAACAGACCAAACUCACAUUACCAAAGUUAUUCCUUAGAUAUAGCUCUAAUACUUUGGUGUAGUACCCCUAGGUUGAAAACAUUCACAACAAUUUUUAUGAAGCACCAAAGUGGAGCUCAACACACUAAAACCUAGUUUCAGCCUUAUGCACUAAGUCUGGGAUCCAGAAACCUGACAGCCUAUGUUUGAGCAAAUUUCACACCUAGUUCCAGGCAACCAAUAGUGGUAGAGUUCAAGCAGUAAAUGGUGUGAUCUUCACUGACCUGUGAGGAACAAGGAACGGGCACAACACGGCCGAGACAAUCUCCACGAACCCUGGCCAUGGUGAGGUUGAAGGAUUGCUGUUGUGGUCACCAGACACAUGAGUUGGCUGUGAUGAACAAGGGCAGAUCGAUCUAGUGGCUGAGGAGGGGAGCUAAAACUGUCGUGGACACAGGAACUACAACGCACACGCAACUACUUUGGCUAGAGGUUGAGGGUAGGGGAGGAGAACUUCACUAAAUUCAGCCCCAAGGCACUGAAUAUAGGGGCAGGUGUCCCUGCACAUGGCAACCAUGCUGUGGGGAGUGUUUCCCAGUGCGCCAGCACAACAGGGGCUUACAAACGUGGCUCUCAAGUAUCAAUUUCACACUGGUUCAUCUGCACAGUUGAGACACCGAACCUGGUCCAAUAGCACAGGUACAACACAAUUAUCUAAUUAUGUCCAGUUCUGAAGACAGUAACAAACAGAUAGGGAUUUCCCUUGUGGAUAGGCUCAAUGGUGAAAACUGAUAUUUUUCUGUAGAGGGGGUGACUGAAUCUCGAGCUCCAUAUUGUCCACCCCAAGUCUAUCCCAGUUUGUGCACAUAAGUGGAGGACAGCAGGGAGAGAAGAUAUUUGUUGCACUCACAACCGAUCCAUACUGCAGUCACUGCACCUGGUCUGGUUCACAGCACCAGUCAGAGACACUGAAUUUGGUCCCUUCCCCAAAGCCAAAAUAUCCAUUUUGUCUUCUACUGCAAACAAAAGAAACGCAGCUGGGAACAUCACUUGUGGCUAAGCACAAAGUGGUCCAAUACUUGAUAUUUCUGCUGGGAUAAGGUUACUAGAUCCUGUUUUAUUUUUCUUUGUCCAGGGCAAUAGAUAAUUGUGCACCUGUGAGCAGGCACAAAUUAAUCCAAAACUAGAUACUUUCAGUUGGGAGUGAGGCUUCUAGAUAUCAGGCAUCCAUUCCAUACACAUCUCAACUUAU